This 73-nucleotide transfer RNA is filed under the name Loxodonta africana (African savanna elephant). It matches the Rfam family "tRNA". Rfam says of the family: Transfer RNA (tRNA) molecules are approximately 80 nucleotides in length. Their secondary structure includes four short double-helical elements and three loops (D, anti-codon, and T loops). The record is from Rfam by way of RNAcentral. Lineage: Eukaryota; Metazoa; Chordata; Mammalia; Proboscidea; Elephantidae.
CCCUGGGUGGUGCAAACGGUAAUGCACUUGGCUGUUAACCAAAAAGCUGAAGGUUCAAGCUCUCCCUCAAGGC